ACUGGUAUGGUGGCACUAGUGUAUAACCCCAGCUACCUAGGAGGCUUAACCUGACAGAUCUCUUGAAUCCCGGAGUUCUGAUUUGCUAUGGGUUAUGCCAAUUGGGUGUCCACCCUAAAUCUGGCAUUAAUAUGCUGAGCCUGUGGGAGCAGGGGACCAUCAGGUUACCUAAGGAGCAGCAAACCAACCCAGAUCAGACACAAGAGCAGGUUAAAGCUCCCGAGCUAGUGAAUAGUGGGAUCAGGCCUAUGAACAGCUCUUGUAUUUCCAGCUGGACAAGAUGGAGAGACCCAGUCUUAA
Molecule: signal recognition particle RNA, 300 nt
Filed under: Vombatus ursinus (common wombat)
Lineage: Eukaryota; Metazoa; Chordata; Mammalia; Diprotodontia; Vombatidae
Description: Metazoan signal recognition particle RNA (ENSVURG00010017750.1)
Rfam family: Metazoan signal recognition particle RNA
About the family: The signal recognition particle (SRP) is a universally conserved ribonucleoprotein. It is involved in the co-translational targeting of proteins to membranes.
Source: Rfam by way of RNAcentral